Molecule: ribosomal RNA, 447 nt
Filed under: uncultured bacterium
Lineage: Bacteria
Description: bacterial SSU rRNA
Rfam family: Bacterial small subunit ribosomal RNA
Source: RNAcentral
UGGGGAAUAUUGGACAAUGGGCGAAAGCCUGAUCCAGCCAUGCCGCGUGAGUGACGAAGGCCUUAGGGUUGUAAAACUCUUUCGUCGGGGACGAUAAUGACGGUACCCGAAGAAGAAGCUCCGGCUAACUUCGUGCCAGCAGCCGCGGUAAUACGAAGGGAGCUAGCGUUGUUCGGAAUCACUGGGCGUAAAGCGCACGUAGGCGGAUAGUUAAGUCAGGGGUGAAAUCCUGGGGCUCAACCCCAGAACUGCCUUUGAUACUGGCUGUCUCGAGGUCGAGAGAGGUUGGUGGAAUUCCUAGUGUAGAGGUGAAAUUCGUAGAUAUUAGGAAGAACACCAGUGGCGAAGGCGGCCAACUGGCUCGAUACUGACGCUGAGGUGCGAAAGCGUGGGGAGCAAACAGGAUUAGAUACCCCCGUAGUCCCUGAGCGGGCUGGCAAGGCGCAU